CACCUGUGAUGGUGUGAUCUUCAUUUAAAGUCCCAGAUCCAGUAAAGAGGGGCGACUUAUCCAGUUUCUCUACGCUGCUUCCAACGAGACACCCCUAAUGUAACGAGCCAGACAGGGCCAAAUGGCUUCCUAUUUUAAAUGACAGCACCAUGGACAGCAACAGAUGCAAUGAGCAAUACAAACCUAUUGGGGCAUCUGAAAGAUAAUUAUAACCGUGUAAUAUACAAAAACUACAAAGCUACUUGGUUGCUGUGAGCCAUCAGGUCAUAUUUAUAAUAAUGUAGAAGUACCCCAACUUUUCAGUUUAAUUUCAACUUACUGUGAGUGUGCAUUUUUUGACAUCUUCAACCCUUUAUAUGGAUAUGAUGGCUCUCUUUCUAAAUAGACUAAAAUGGACCUGAUGAACUAAAAAAAUCAAGUCACCAUUAUUGUUUAAUUAAUUUCAGAGAUUAGUAAUUUUUCAAUAAUAACCUUACAGACAGUUAUAUGAUGUGUGAUUGUGACUGUCACGCGGUAACAGGACAUAAGCAUAUACAACAUUUAAAUUAAAUUGGAUGAUUGUGACUGCACAGUAAAGUA
This is a long non-coding RNA of Misgurnus anguillicaudatus (oriental weatherfish), 579 nucleotides long. RefSeq lists it as uncharacterized. Lineage: Eukaryota; Metazoa; Chordata; Actinopteri; Cypriniformes; Cobitidae. The record is from RefSeq and is a predicted model, not a curated record.